GAACGCAUAUUGCACUCUCUGGUAUUCCGGGGAGUAUGCCUGUUUGAGGGUCAGUAAAUAACAAUUAUCAUAAUCUUUUGAUUGUGGAAUUGGGCCUUUAUUUCAUUUUAAUGAUUUAUGGCCUUAAAUUUAUGUUACCGCUUGUUUAAUAUGAAAUUCGACCGAAUGGAGCAAUUAAACAUUCUCUCGUUAGGCGAAUUCAUCAAGCAAUUACGAUUUUUUGGCCGUCGAAGCACUUUUUUUUUAGAAGUGCUUGGUCUCGAUUGUAAGAUACAUUUUUAACAAUGACCUCAAAUCAGGCAAGAAUACCCGCUGAACUUAAG
This 323-nucleotide unclassified non-coding RNA is filed under the name uncultured Glomeraceae. Its description in RNAcentral is "sequence contains 5.8S rRNA gene". The stretch from base 1 to 53 matches the Rfam family "5.8S ribosomal RNA", at positions 102 to 154 of the family's 154-position model. Lineage: Eukaryota; Fungi; Glomeromycota; Glomeromycetes; Glomerales; Glomeraceae. The record is from RNAcentral.